This 301-nucleotide ribosomal RNA is filed under the name uncultured bacterium. Its description in RNAcentral is "partial 16S ribosomal RNA". It matches the Rfam family "Bacterial small subunit ribosomal RNA", at positions 509 to 807 of the family's 1533-position model. The record is from RNAcentral.
CAGCCGCCGCGGUAAUACGGAGGGUGCAAGCGUUAAUCGGAAUUACUGGGCGUAAAGCGUGCGCAGGCGGUUAUAUAAGACAGUCGUGAAAUCCCCGGGCUCAACCUGGGAACUGCGAUUGUGACUGUAUGGCUAGAGUGUGUCAGAGGGGGGUAGAAUUCCACGUGUAGCAGUGAAAUGCGUAGAUAUGUGGAGGAAUACCGAUGGCGAAGGCAGCCCCCUGGGAUAACACUGACGCUCAUGCACGAAAGCGUGGGGAGCAAACAGGAUUAGAUACCCCAGUAGUCCCUGUCUCUUAUAC